UACGUAGGGGGCAAGCGUUGUUCGGAAUCAUUGGGCGUAAAGGGCGCGCAGGUGGCUCUGUAUGUCUGCCGUGAAAGCAUACAGCUCAACUGUAUUGUGUCGGUAGAAACUGCAGGACUUGAGGCUGGGAGGGGCUGGUGGAAUUCCCUGUGUAGCGGUGAAAUGCGUAGAGAUGGGGGAGAACACUCGUGGCGAAGGCGGCCAGCUAGACCAGUUCUGACACUGAGGCGCAACAGCGUGGGGAGCAAACAGG
Molecule: ribosomal RNA, 253 nt
Filed under: uncultured bacterium
Lineage: Bacteria
Description: partial 16S ribosomal RNA
Rfam family: Bacterial small subunit ribosomal RNA
Source: RNAcentral